This 287-nucleotide ribosomal RNA is filed under the name uncultured bacterium. Its description in RNAcentral is "partial 16S ribosomal RNA". It matches the Rfam family "Bacterial small subunit ribosomal RNA", at positions 338 to 622 of the family's 1533-position model. The record is from RNAcentral.
CCUACGGGGCGCAGCAGUGAGGAAUAUUGGUCAAUGGUCGGGAGACUGAACCAGCCAAGCCGCGUGAGGGAUGAAGGUACAGAGUAUCGUAAACCUCUUUUGUCAGGGAACAAAGGCGGGGACGCGUCCCCGGAUGAGUGUACCUGAAGAAAAAGCAUCGGCUAACUCCGUGCCAGCAGCCGCGGUAAUACGGAGGAUGCGAGCGUUAUCCGGAUUUAUUGGGUUUAAAGGGUGCGCAGGCGGUUCGUCGCGUCCGGUGUGAAAGUCCAUCGCUUAACGGUGGAUCC